GGACUAAGGAACAAACGGAGACGUUUAUACUUCUCCGUUUAGAAAAACAGCAGCUGUUUACCGGGGGAAGGACACCGCGGCCAACGGAUAUCGGUGAGAAGCUACACUAUUGUUUAAUGUUCAGAAGUAAUAGCUGUGUAAUCUGCUUUUUAUUCACACAGGCUUAUUUUGGAGAAGAUGGGGAUCGGAGGGUCACCCACGCCCAGGCCAAGAAGAAGUGGGACAAUCUGAAGACCAAGUACAAGAGGAGGUUUAAGGCUGAACAUUUACCACUUCUCAUCAACACUAAAGUCAGUAGGCUGAAAGGAAAGUUUGACCAUGCAAAGACAUUCCAGACUAGCGAGGGAUCUGCAUGCUUGUUGUACUGCUGAGUCAUAGUUCUGCACAACCAAUACAGCAAUACACCACCUGACAUCCUGA
Esox lucius (northern pike) is the source of this 420-nucleotide long non-coding RNA. The record is from Ensembl. Lineage: Eukaryota; Metazoa; Chordata; Actinopteri; Esociformes; Esocidae.